CCAGCCUGCCCUUCUCAUUUCACAGCGCUCAUCGUGCUUACUGGGACGGGGUCUAAACUGAUGCUGGACAGCCUGCCCACGGGAGCUCCCUCACACCCCUGCCCAAGGACGGAAUUGGGCCCCAAGUCCUCUGGCUUCACUGAGUUUAAAGCAUCUCAGUUCACCUUAACUUGAAAAUGUGAAUGAAACCUUCCUUGGGAACUUACCAGACAUUACCUAAUCAGAGGAACCAAAUGCUUUUCUAAAUACAGCAGAAGCACCCGGCAGAGGCAUCGGGAAGGCUGGAGAGGCCCCCUGGACUGAAGACCCCACGGCAUUGGUAAUGCACUGGCCUUGAGGCCCAGGGAAUCACAGGAAAGCCAGCCGGUCACUUGUGGUUGGGCUGGGUCCUUCCUGUGCUUUACACACAAAAGAUUCCUGAUGCCCAGCUCAGGAGGUGGGAGCUGGGAGCAGCAGUGAAAGAAGAAAGGCAU
RNAcentral lists this long non-coding RNA (473 nucleotides) under Homo sapiens (human). RNAcentral's name for it is "HSALNT0198583". The record is from RNAcentral. Lineage: Eukaryota; Metazoa; Chordata; Mammalia; Primates; Hominidae.